This 4435-nucleotide unclassified non-coding RNA is filed under the name Bombyx mandarina (wild silkworm). RNAcentral's name for it is "uncharacterized LOC114241004, transcript variant X2". Lineage: Eukaryota; Metazoa; Arthropoda; Insecta; Lepidoptera; Bombycidae. The record is from RNAcentral.
GUGAAUCGGGCUGACUCGCUCGCGUUUGUACUCCGCGAAUGUAGGUGGAGCUCGUUACAAUUUUAUUUCAUUUAUUUAACGCUCUCGUUCCACUUUUCCAAGCGACAGUUUCUUUUUUAAAUAUUUACGUUAAUAUUUUCUUUAUUAGUGUUUUCCUAGUGCUAUAUUGUGAUUGUGAAACAAAGCGUUGCGUGAUAGUUCAGUGUUAUGAUGUCAUGAUUAUUCUAUUCGAAUCCUUGGUGAAACAUGAGUGUCAGUGUCGAGGCGGACGUUCCGAGCCCUGUGUCCGAUGGGCAGAGUACGACCUUGGAUCCGACGUUGUCGAAAUCAUCGUCGGAAAGCCAAAGUUUGAAAGAGGAGAUUGAGGUAGGUCAGGAUGAGAAAUCUGAAUCUAGCACGCCCAAAAUUCACCCGAUGGCCUUCACGAUCGACUUUGGAGAGAGCAAACCUGUCGACAAUCGCAGACUUGAGCAGUUGGCUAAGAAGUCUCAGGCGCGUCAUCAGAGAGUUCAGUCCAUGUCCGCAAGUUUAACUAGGCAGAGCCCCACAGCCCAGCGUCCACCUAUGAGCGCUAAACUCCCUCGAAAGACCCAGGGCUACAAUUCGGAAGGCUACUUCUCAUCAGAUCAGGAGGAUAGUGGUCUAUCAGGUUCUAUCAAAAUUCGUAACUCCUUAGCUCAAAACCCAGCACAUACUAAUAGUCCUAUAACAAACAGGCACAUAAAAUCUCCUGUCAAUGAUGCACGCACAAAACAUGCCUCAAAGAGUCCUAUAGUUGACAGUAUAAUGUCAAGAAGUGACAAUUAUUCAUACUUGUCUCGGCAAGCUCUUAAUCUUCCUCUAAAGAGCAACACAUAUUCAAAGGAAAUGCAUCGUACACCAAGUUACAAUAACCUUUAUCAAACAAGACCAGUGACUCAUAUAGUAGAUGAAAGUCCUGAAGCAGUCCUUCUCACAGACAUAUCUAGCCCGGAACUUGACAUAUUGACCCCUGAUAAUGGGGUGCCCACUCCUGAGCACUAUAAAAGUCCAUCAACAAGAAAAGGUCGUGCCACAUCAGAGACACCUGACCUAUUCAAGAAGUGCAUGAUAAAAGAAACAUUGUAUAUUGAUGAUGAAGUUGAUAGGGAAUCCAAUAACUCCUCGACCGGUACAUACACCAUUGAAGGAGAUAAUUAUACGGAAGAGCAGAAGGCCAGAAUGAGCAUUGACAGAAAUUUUGAUACAAAAUUGAUCAAGGAUGAAGAAAUAUUUAAACAACGUAGUAGAGACCCUGAAUUGAUUUUAGACUUCACACAGAGAGUGAUCACAAAAGAGCCAAGAAGAGAUACAUAUCUCAGGAGUCCAGUGGAAGCAAAUAAAGGUUUUAAUGUCCCCAAAGUAUCUAAAGACAAAAAUGUUCUAGAGAUCUCUUGCUGUUAUGAAUCGCCCACUGAGAAUGAUCUUGCAACACAAACAUCUAAGCAAAUUAAAUCAACUAGAAGCUACUUAGAGAAAAUAAAGAAUAGAGUGAGAACUAUAACUGAGAAAACUUUUGCAAAAUCACCACCGAUCCACGGUGAAGAACCAGAUUUUGGGAGCUUCACCUCUGUUACAACUUCAGGGGUGUUAAGUUCGAAAAACCCUUCGAAAUUGGUCACGUCAUCAGGGAGGCGAUGUAGCUUAACUAAAUCAGAAAUAGACCAAACUGACUAUAUACACAGAUUGUCAAGAGAGUCAUCAGUACCUGUUUCUCUACCGAGCUCUAAACUGAAGUUGGAAAAUGCAGAAUUUGAAAGCACAGCACUGAGAAAUGCUCAGAAGGCCAUGAGGGAUGAUAGCGGAGUGUCUUCUGAUAUAACACCAGAUCAGGCUGUCGGUCAACUGUCUUAUAUAUCAAUGAACCGGUGCAAGGGUGACAAGACCUGGAUUCACGACUGGGCGGAGAGUGUCAAGAAGUAUAACAAUAACAUGGCCACUGGAUCUUAUGCUAACACUGAUUGUGAUCGUCCUCCUCUCAGCCCUCGACAUAUCAGUAAACCUCGGAGUCCGCACGGCGACACACCGACCAAGAUCCCGAGCCCCGUCGGCACAUUACUACACAGAAGGACACCGGAUCUCAUACCCACCCAAGAAACGGAGUCUUAUUUGCUCAAAACGCAAAACGCAAUAUCGAAUCUUCAAGCUAAACUACAGUCAUCUAGGACGAGCAACUUUUCCAGUAUACCGUCGCAACUCACCACCAGUAUGAUCAGCGAGAAGACAGCCAUAUCCCGACUUCCGAUCUCGCAGCUUAGCCGCUCCAACUCGCUCAACUACCGUCUCCGGAAGAAGGAUAACUCAGGAGACAGCAGUCCCCUCCGAAGCCCCGGACAUUACGUGAUCACUGGGUCAACGAAAAUCCCCGAAACCACGCAAAUUCUUCUCAAUAACGCUUCCCGGUCACUGGAGACGGAUCGAAAGAAAUACGACAGCAACAUGAAUAGUCCGUCUUCUGAUAGGGGCGGUCUUCUAAGCACCAGUUCCGAUGACAAGACGCUGUCAAAUCGCUACGACGUUGAGGCUAUACUCUCGCCGCACAGAAAACACGCAAGGCACAAAUCCGCGGAUGUAAGGCACAGCGAGAGGAACUUGGACAACGCCAGUCAAAUGAGACUGAAGAAUACAUUAAGGAACAACGUACCGGAAGAAAACUCUCAGAGGAUCGAUCAAAUACGUUGUCAGGGAAACGCCAAAGUUAGGCCCGACAUAACGUCUACGAUCCGACGUUCGAGCUCUUUUAACACUGUCAAUAAGAAUAACAAUUAUAUCGAAACGAGACAUAAUUAUAGAAGACCCAGCGGUCAGUCUGAGGAGUGCAAUUGCUCCGAUGAUUCAGACAAUGUUUCUCUCGGUAAAUGCAAAGAUUACAAAUACAAAAUGCUCCGAGGCAGGUUAGACUCGGCCGAGUUGAAGUCAGCAGUGCCAGCCAAUUCGCCAAAAUGUCCUAAUACGCCAGAAAUGCAGCGGAAAUUCGGACAUGGCCUGGUGAGGAAUUCGGUUAGAGUCACGACUAAAGAGAGGGGGAGCGUCCCAAGGUCCGAACCUUUGAGGGAUGAGAGAAACAAACCAAUCGGACACCAGAGCAGGAGGAUAUCGGAGCCGACGCGGCAGGCCAUGAUCAGUCGGCUGACAAAGUCCAGAUCUUCAACGAGAGAGGUGCAAUUGAAGACCCAGGAAAAAGGUCAAAAGAAACCAAGCCAGCACAGGUCUUCAUCAGCGUUAGCCACAAAGGAGGUGGAAUUCUCCAACUGGAAGAAGCGCUCUUCCUAUGACCCGAUGAAGGCGGCCCAGGAAGGCAGGAGACGGCAACAGAUGUCGAAACGGCAGGAAAAUAAGGACGAUCUCAGUUCCCCUAGUCACUCGUCUCCGGUGCAUCGAUCGCAGUCGUUCCACACGACCAAUAUAGCGGAUCUGACCCUGGACUACACCUCCGAGGAGUCCGAAGACGACCUCCACGCGUUACCCGUCGACCCGAUGAUCACCUCCACGCACUCCGACAUCGUCGAGCUGAGGUCCAGGGACUGCCACAGUCUGAGGAGACAGGCCCUGAACAGCGACGUGAAGCUGGGCAGGAGUUAUGUGGCUAAUUUUCAGGUGAACCAACAGGCGGACAAGAAAAGGCGGGAACAGGACAAAAGAAAGACGUUCAUAUUGGAUGACGUCACGCCCACCAAAGAGAAUAUAGACUUCAUUACAAAGACAAGAGACGAUGUCGCCAUAGACAAGAGGAGAACUUUUGUUCUAGACAGCGACACAAACUCCACCACAAACGGCAGCAGUCCAAGGAACUCUUCUAUAUUUAGUCAUGAAAAACACUCCUUGACGACUGGUACUAGCGACACGGAGGGCGAGAGUGGAACAGAGAGUGCUCCUGUGGUGUUGAGGCACCCGGGCGCAAAGAGAGGCACCGUCCCUCCCAAACAGAGGUACAGCGGUGAUUUCUCGAUGACCUCGUCCACCACGUCGAUAUCGCAGAAGAAGCCCAAAGACAUCCAGCCCCGUUACAUGGAUAUCUCGAAGUACAAAAAUGACACCUCCCCGAAGAACUUCCUGAGGAGGGAUCCCAGCAAGACCUACGUUGGUGUUCUAGGCGAAAAUAAAAUCAGCCGAGGAAGCGCGCAGCAUUAUGAAAUGGAACAAAAGAAACAAGAGUUAGAGAAGUGGAAACGACGAGCUUCUUACGAUCCGAGGAAGGCGGCCGCGCUCGGGAAGACCAGCAAGCCGGCUCCGAAGACCGCCAGAGCGUGACAGAUGUCAAAUUGCAUGCAAAGCGUAAUUGACAUUCGAGGCGCCAUCUUGUGUAAGUAGCGUUCUCCGUUCGCAGUCGUUUCACGGACCGGUGCUGGCGUCGUCGACUACCCGCUACUGUCCGCCUACAGAUAUCACCGAAUUAUACGACGCAUCGAGCGACAAC